Manihot esculenta (cassava) is the source of this 607-nucleotide long non-coding RNA. RefSeq lists it as uncharacterized. The record is from RefSeq and is a predicted model, not a curated record. The transcript has 2 exons. Lineage: Eukaryota; Viridiplantae; Streptophyta; Magnoliopsida; Malpighiales; Euphorbiaceae.
UAGAGGAUACAUUGAAAAAGCCAAACAAAAUGUGCAGAUUGUUCCAACCCUGUAACAGAAACCUAUAUCAAAUUCAUAGGACUAUCACAAUAUUGUGUUUAUCUUUUCUAGUUAUUUUUGAAAUGCGUUUUCUUAUUUGUUGCUUAUCAUUGUUUUCUUGCCCUUCUUUGGUUUCUGGUUAAUCCUCUGCUUAUUUGUUAAUCUGACAGAGGCUUUCUGGAGUAUCUUUGCUAAUACUAGCAAAUAAGCAAGACCUAAAAGGUGCUCUUACACCAGAUGAAAUUGCUAAGGUACUAAACCUGGAGAAUAUGGACGAAACCAGGCAUUGAAAAAUCAUGGGCUGUAGCGCAUACAUAGGGGAGGGGCUGCUUGAGGGAUUUGAUUGGUUGGUUCAGGACAUGAUGAUACCUUAGGAUCUAGUUAACAUUAAGCAAUAGAGUUAGGGUUUUUUCUAUUGGCCCUCUCAGAGAACUGAUUAAGGUCCAUUUGUACUGUUUUAUUAACUAUCUUAUUGUUGUGCAAUUUAGUCAAGCUGUGAAUUCGACAAAAAAAAAAAGUCAAGCUGUGAAACUUUUUGGGUCAAUAGUAUUAUUGAAACUUUCAAUGG